Molecule: transfer RNA, 69 nt
Filed under: Endelus continentalis
Lineage: Eukaryota; Metazoa; Arthropoda; Insecta; Coleoptera; Buprestidae
Description: tRNA-Met
Source: RNAcentral
AAUAAGGUAAGCUAAUUUAAGCUAAUGGGUUCAUACCCCUUUUAUGAACGUAAAAUCGUUCCCUUCUUA